This 492-nucleotide ribosomal RNA is filed under the name uncultured bacterium. RNAcentral's name for it is "partial 16S ribosomal RNA". It matches the Rfam family "Bacterial small subunit ribosomal RNA", at positions 29 to 507 of the family's 1533-position model. The record is from RNAcentral.
AGUGAACGCUGGCGGUAGGCCUAACACAUGCAAGUCGAACGGCAGCACAGUAAGAGCUUGCUCUUACGGGUGGCGAGUGGCGGACGGGUGAGGAAUACAUCGGAAUCUACUUUUUCGUGGGGGAUAACGUAGGGAAACUUACGCUAAUACCGCAUACGACCUACGGGUGAAAGCAGGGGAUCUUCGGACCUUGCGCGAUUGAAUGAGCCGAUGUCGGAUUAGCUAGUUGGCGGGGUAAAGGCCCACCAAGGCGACGAUCCGUAGCUGGUCUGAGAGGAUGAUCAGCCACACUGGAACUGAGACGCGGUCCAGACUCCUGCGGGAGGCAGCAGUGGGGAAUAUUGGACAAUGGGCGCAAGCCUGAUCCAGCCAUACCGCGUGGGUGAAGAAGGCCUUCGGGUUGUAAAGCCCUUUUGUUGGGAAAGAAAAGCAGCAGGUUAAUACCCCGCUGUUCUGACGGUACCCAAAGAAUAAGCACCGGCUAACUUCGUG